Molecule: long non-coding RNA, 405 nt
Filed under: Chloebia gouldiae (Gouldian finch)
Lineage: Eukaryota; Metazoa; Chordata; Aves; Passeriformes; Passeridae
Description: Erythrura gouldiae (Gouldian finch) lncRNA (ENSEGOG00005016247.1)
Source: RNAcentral
CCACCACCGAGCACUUGAAAGCGCUGCAGCAGCAAAGUCUCACCUGAAAAGAAAUCAACAAACAAGCAAGUUUUGGUUAAACAAACCCCAAAAUAUUUACCUGGGGUGCAGCAGCUGUGAGGAGAGAGGGACCAACCUCUGAUGAAGGAGCUGGUGGAUGGUGGGAGCAGUCCCAGCCAUGAAGAGGAAUUUAGGAAGUGACCCCAGCUUGUGAUGCAGCUCCAGGGCUGGAUUCCUGCUGCCACCUCAUUUGUCACCUUGAUACUCUACUCUCUCCUCCUGCUGGCCCUUUACACCAUGCUCAGCAGGAAAAUUGCCCAGCAUUCCUGCAGGAUGCAGGUGAGCAGCAGCCCUGCGGAGCAUCGCAGCGCUCACCCAGCUGCGGCACCGGGAGGGGACACGGCG